Molecule: long non-coding RNA, 657 nt
Organism: Populus euphratica (Euphrates poplar)
Lineage: Eukaryota; Viridiplantae; Streptophyta; Magnoliopsida; Malpighiales; Salicaceae
Exons: 2
Source: RefSeq, a predicted model, not a curated record
GUGCUUUAUACAAGUUGAUUUGACUGGGAAAAAAAAUUAGCACCGGGGAAAUGUUGUGCUAAAAAUCCAAUUAUUUUGGACAAGAACAAUUUUAAUCCUCCAUGCACAUAAAUAAAGGAUUGAUUAUAAAAGUGUUCCAAUCAUCCGCAAAUCAAGAAGACUGACACCAUGAUUGAAACCUUCCUUAUCAAUUCACAACAAAGACGUUUGUUCAAAAUCUUUAAUCAAAUCACCAAUCACAUGCACUGUUAGAACUGUGGAGAGAAACCCUCAAGAACCAGCAUGAUAACAGUUAAGGCAGAGAUUACACGAUAAAAGAACAUUCAAUUUAUGCUAUGAUUAUUAUGCUUUAAUUUGAUUUGCCCACAUUUUUUUUUUUUUAGAAAAGCCUUAAUUUGUGAUUCUGUAUUGUAAUGUUAGAGGGUAUAGGAAACAGCCUUACGUGAAGAUCACUAUUAAUCGGCUCCACUAUAAUUAUACAUGUUUGUUUCUUUCAAGCCCAAAUACCCAAAAUUGAGGUUGAAAUUUUAACAGGAUAUCUUUGAACAACAAAUUUCAGAAAAGAAAAAAGAUCUAAAAUGAGCACAGCAUCAUAUUCACACAUGGUUUCCAUAUGAAGGUUAAAAUUUACUCGGAAAACAGUAUGAGACAAAUGAG